UGGAUACCGUGGCCCACGCUGACGUCCUUCCUGUCGACGCGGCCCUGAUGUGCGCCGCUGACGUCAUUCUUGUGGCGUCAUGGUUCCUGCAGGCAGCCGCCCAGGGCUGGGAGCAGGGUAGACAGGUCGAGCCGGAACGUGCAGUGAUGGACGUGGAGCCGCAGACAGACGAUAAGAAGACAGGUCUGGACAGAUCCAUGGCCAGCCCUGACCAUAGGCAGUGUGCACCCUGAUGUGAAUAUGGGUAGCUGGAGAAGAGGACACCCAGCAGAGGCCUGGGCUGGGCAGAUCCUGAGAAGGAAUACCUGCAAGGACAGACUGUUCUCUAAGUUACUGAAAACUCGGUUCAUGUUCUUGGACUACAGCUCUUCAUCAUCCUCUGAGAGGAGACCAAGCCCACACUGGCCCACUGAUUGGUACUUUGUGCUAUGUUAUGUCCUUGCAAAACUUUUCCUCCUGGCAACUUCUCAAACUGCCUAUCCCUUCAUCCUGAUUUGUACUUCCUGAGGACAUCAAGGAAUCAAACUCUGUGUUCCUCAGCAGUUUGAAAAUUAGCAGUCAUGCCAUAGCAGUGUUCAGUAGCAAUGAUUUUUGGCAUUGUCCAUGACUUUGGCUUGGAUAUGAGACAUCUUUGAGAAGUUCAUGGAAAAUGCAUAUUAUGCACACAUUACACUAUGCAUGUGUUACAGAAUCGUUUUGCACCAAAAUAAACUUUUCAAAAAUUUAUGUAUUUAUGUGAAAGGAAGGGAAAAGAGAGAGUGCUCACAUUUGCUGGUUCACUCCCUAAAUGCCUUCAGUGGCCAGGACUGCCUCCCCAAGGAUCCACAUAAGCAGUAAGUUGGCAUCGAGAACCAGACCAGAGGUGAGUAUGGAAGCAGGCACCCUAGUAUGAGAUGUGGGCCUCUCAACAGCCAGGCCAAACACUCACCCUCACUUAUCUUUUAAUUCCAUUUCCCACAGACUUUUUGAAGUGCCUCAUACCUUUGUUUUACAGUGUCCCUUCUGCAUCAGCCUAAGCAUCUGAGGUUAAGUUCCGUAGAAACUUGGCCCUGGCUGGGCCAUAUGUGGUGACUGCUCCUUUGUACACAGCAAGAGUUCUUGCUGCUCUUUAGAACAGGCAGAGCUAGCCCAGUUUUGAGCACACAGAUCUUCCUUUUGAGGCUAAUAGAAACACACUGGAAAUUUUACAAGAAGUGGCUUUUCUGUGACGUUUCCAGAAUUUUCACCUACUACACGGCCUGGCACUGACAGCCCCUGUCCGUCAGUAUGGGCCUUUCCAACUGGGAGCAGGAGCUCAGAGGUGUGAAUCUGCAGUGAGGGCUAAGGCAGCCAGGCAGCGGGGCCCUGGAGCCAGGAUGUCCAGGCACCGUCCCCGACUGGCCUUGACUCACCCUUUUGGAUAGGAAAGGCCACGGUAGAUGCUCAGCCUCACUGAGGAGUUUGCAAAGAUUGGCUACAGCCUAUGCGCUGGUUUUGGGGUGGAGCUGGCUGCCAGACCUGGAGGUGGAAUGCCCUGUGGCCUGUGCUGUGUGGCUGAGGCCUGCUCCACUGUGCAGGGUGGGUGGUGGGGACCACUGGAUGGUAGAUUCUUGCACAGUGGCCAGCCUGUUCUGCAUCUCACACCUGUUCAUUCUGGCUCUGCAGCCCUGGGCAUGCGAUUCACUCCCUGCCUAGGGUUUGUUUCCUCAUGGGCUCGAGUGGGGGAGCAGGGCUUUGAGUGUGAGCAAUUAGGAUCAUGCCUGGUACACAGUUGGUGCUUGCUGGAUCUCAGCAAAAAGAAGGAGGGCUUGGGAGUAGGUGCAAAGCAUCCUUGAUGUCCCUGGAGCCUGGGCAGUGCUAUGAUUGUUCCUGGGUCAGGCUGGAAGGAAAACAUGCCAGCAUGCAUACUCCAUGAGGGGGUGCUGGGCAGCACCUGCUACCUGCUUCAGUAGGAGUCGGGGUCAGAGCAGGAAGGUGCACAAGAAAUGGAAUGCCCAGCCUGUGAACAUGGCAGGGUCCAAAUGCAGAGGAAGGGACGCCACACACACAGUACGUGUGCCGCUCCACAGCAGUCCUGGUCUCAGAAGGUCCUUGAGUGAUCCUGGUCAAGGUACUUACACUUCAGGCCUCCGUGACACCUGCAUGCCUAGGAGGUUGACACCCACAAUUCCGAGACCCUUCCCAUUGCAGAUUCCGAGUGGAGACAGGAGAAAGGGUCCUGCAUGAUGGACAGGCAGGUGGAUGAACUUCCAAAGGAGCUGACUGUGAAUGAGUUCCAGGCACCUGGUGCUGGGCAGCACGAGCUCCAGCUGAGUAACAGUCUGCCUGCAAUUGGGCAAGGGGUCUGGACAGUAGGUCAGCUUCUGCCUGUAGGGAUCGCCAGCUCACCUGAGUGGAGAUUUGGGGCUCUACACCUGCUUCUGGGCCUCAAUGGCCUGGACUGAUGGUGGGAAGAAGGGCCGAGAAAACUGGAUUCCCCAGAAGAAGAGAGGGGUGCAUGUAAACUGGGUGGUGCUCCCCUCUGAGCAGCCCUAGCACAUAUGUGUCAACAUGACUGGGCUAGGGGCUGCCCAGAUAUUUAGUCAACUGAUAUUCUAUUCUGGGUGUUUCUGGGGGGGUGUUUUUGUAUGGGACGAACAUUUGAGUGGGUGGACUGAGUGAAGCAGACAGCCCUCCCUCAUGUAGAGGGGCCUUAUCCAAUCAGCAGAGGGCCUGAUAGAACAGAACUGCUGACCUCUUCAAAGUAAGACAGAGUUCCGCUCCCUGGGAGCCUUCAAAUGGGGCCAUCACUUCCUAGUUCUGUAGCAGCUUUUGGCUUUUGGAUUCAGGCUGGAACAUCAGCUGUGCAGAUUCCGGACUUGAUACCUCUGUGGUGACAUGAGCCGUUUCCUUGUAAUCAUGCUCUCUCUCUUUACACACACCUAUGCACACACAGUCCAUCCCUCAGCAUCCGAGGGGUUAAGUUCCAGGGCCUUCUCUCAGGUGGCCAAAUCUGCAGACGUUCAAGUCCCUUUUGGAAGAUGGUGUCAUCUUUACAUAUCACCUAUGUGAUCUUCCUGUAACUUGCAGUCACCUCUAGACUAAUCCAAUGUAAAUGCUCUGUAAAUAGUUGUACACUGUGUUGUUUAGGGAACAGGAUGAGGAAAAAAAUCCUGUACAUAUUUAGCACAGAUGCUUUUCUCCCCACCAUUUUGAUCUGCAGUGGCUGAAUCUGCAAAUGUGGUAUCCAUAGGUACAGAGAGCUAACCUGCACACCCUGUUAUUAGGAUCGCGAUCCUAUUGGUUUGGCUUUCCUGGAGCACCCUGACUAACACACUAAGUAUCUGAUUAUCUCACAUGCUGGGUUGUCAGUGUCAGGACUGGGGUCGUCUCCAUGGAGCAGUGUCUGGAAGGCUCAGGGAGUGCUUUCAGGCUCCCCCUAAGGACAUGAACUGCCAGAAGUAAGGGUAGGAGUCAGUGACGGGAGCAGUGACAUGUGCUGGAGCACACACAUCACCAGUCUUCUCUCCUGUACCCAGACUGGAGAGAAAGGACACCAGGUCAGCACCUUGUAACUUCUCCCUCCCCAUUAGUCACUGGUUGUUCAGAACAAGCAGGCCCAGGGAUGUGUGUGAGUAAGUAAGCUAAUCCAUGCAAACAUUCCCAGUGGGCUUGAAAGAUACUGGGAAGUAUUUUAGUAGUAUUGCCAUUAUUAUUUCUGGGUUUAAUUCUACGUGUGUUUAAAGAAAAUGAGGAAUAAGGUUCUAUGACCUAUGUGUUUUUAGCAAAAAUGUUUAGAAUUUCCCCCUUGCUCAAACUGGAAAAAAAAAUCUUUCGUAAUUCUCAGCUCAGACAUAUAAAUAUUCUAAACAAAAGCUUAUUAUUUCUACCCACUGCACCAUCUAUUGAGUUAAGACUGGCUAAUCCUGAGGUUGACACAGUUAAAUGGAAGGGUUCAUUUGGAACUGUUAACACGUUGCACUGACACCUUCACUUAUACAGGACCUUUCCUGCUGAGGACCUGCACUCUGCAGACUGUGUGUAAAUAGAAGCACCUCCCUGCCACCACACGCAGCCUUCUCACGGGCACCGUGCGGCCCAGUCACCACCCAGCAGUCUUUCUGUUGAAAAAAAAAAAGAUUGAAGACUAUGAGACUGAGAGAGUAUCUUGCACCUACAGAUUAACUCUCUAAUUCUCGACACCAACUGGAUGUCUAACUAGUUAAUUCAGUUGUGCCACUGUCUGGGGUUUGCCCAGACCCUGUCAACUGUGGACUUGGUCCCACAAGAAUGCCUCAACGUCGGGGAAUGCCUCAACGUCGGAUACCUUUUCUAAGUACUGAGUGACCAGUGUUGAACUGAAGUAAAUUGGGCCUAAAUCAACCUCCAUACUCCAGUAAUAAAUUUGGCCCCUAGCAGCUUCUGUACGUGGUGGAUUUAUCCUAGAUAACCUAGAGUUCCUAACCUAAGAGUAGCCCCUUGUAACCAAACAAGUAAGUCUCUGUCAGUCACAGUAGCUGAGCUUCAGCCAAUCAUGGGCUAUAACUGAUCAGAUCAUAUCUAAGACAAUUGCCUCCUUAAGCCAAUCAGGUUGCUUUUAUCCAUCACUUCCGUUUCUCUGGCUAUAAAUAGGAGCUGCAUAUGUGGUGGAGUGCACACCCCAUCUUUGCUCUGGAAUGCUGUAAGUUCUACAAGCUUCUUCUUGCUCAAGUAAGCUGUAAGAAACUUUAAAAAUUUAAUGUUUUAAUGUGAAAGAGGGAGGGGGGAGAGAGAGAAAGAGAGAGAGAGAGAGAGAGAGAGAGAAUGUUCCAUAUGCUUCUUCAUUCACCAAAUUCUCACACAGCUAGGAUUGGGCCAGGCUGAAGCCAGGGGCUGAGAGUUCCAUUUUGGUCUACCACAUGUGUGGCAGGGUCCCAGUUUCUUGAGCAAUGCAUCACCUGUUACCUUCCAGGGCCUGCAUUAGCAGGAAGCUGGAAUUGUAGCAGAGCCAGGACUUGAACCCAGGCACUCCAGUAUGGGACCUGGGUGUCCUAAGUGGC
Molecule: non-coding RNA, 4997 nt
Organism: Oryctolagus cuniculus (rabbit)
Lineage: Eukaryota; Metazoa; Chordata; Mammalia; Lagomorpha; Leporidae
Source: RefSeq, a predicted model, not a curated record